UACGGGGGGUGCGAGCGUUAAUCGGAAUUACUGGGCGUAAAGGGUGCGUAGGUGGUUUGAUAAGAUAUUUGUGAAAUUCCUGGGCUUAACCUGGGCGUGUCAGAUAUGACUGUUAGACUUUGAGUAUAGGAGAGGGUAGUGGAAUUUCCGGUGUAGCGGUGAAAUGCGUAGAGAUCGGAAGGAACACCAGUGGCGAAGGCGGCUACCUGGCCUGAUACUGACACUGAAGCACGAAAGCGUGGGGAGCAAA
This 250-nucleotide ribosomal RNA is filed under the name uncultured bacterium. Its description in RNAcentral is "partial 16S ribosomal RNA". It matches the Rfam family "Bacterial small subunit ribosomal RNA", at positions 524 to 772 of the family's 1533-position model. The record is from RNAcentral.